RNAcentral lists this ribosomal RNA (434 nucleotides) under uncultured bacterium. RNAcentral describes it as "partial 16S ribosomal RNA". It matches the Rfam family "Bacterial small subunit ribosomal RNA", at positions 30 to 506 of the family's 1533-position model. The record is from RNAcentral.
AGCGAACGCUGGCGGCAGGCUUAACACAUGCAAGUCGAGCGGGCACUUUCGGGUGUCAGCGGCGGACGGGUGAGUAACGCGUGGGAACGUGCCCUCUGGUUCGGAAUAACUCAGGGAAACUUGAGCUAAUACCGGAUACGCCCUUUUGGGGAAAGGCUUGCUGCCGGAGGAUCGGCCCGCGUCUGAUUAGCUAGUUGGUGAGGUAACGGCUCACCAAGGCGACGAUCAGUAGCUGGUCUGAGAGGAUGAUCAGCCACACUGGGACUGAGACACGGCCCAGACCCCUACGGGAGGGAGGAGGGGGGAAUAUUGGACAAGGGGCGAAAGCCUGAUCCCGCCAUGCCGGGUGGGGGAGGAAGGCCUUGGGGUUGUAAAGCUCUUUUAUCCGGGACGAUAAUGGCGGUACCGGAGGAAUAAGCCCCGGCUAACUUCGU